Molecule: ribosomal RNA, 253 nt
Filed under: uncultured bacterium
Lineage: Bacteria
Description: partial 16S ribosomal RNA
Rfam family: Bacterial small subunit ribosomal RNA
Source: RNAcentral
GACAGAGGCCUCGAGCGUUAGGCGGAAUCACUGGGCUUAAAGCGUGUGUAGGCGGAUCGUUAAGUACCUUGUGAAAUCCCACGGCUCAACCGUGGAACGGCUGGGUAUACUGGCGGUCUUGGGCCAUUCAGGGGCGACUGGAACAAGCGGUGGAGCGGUGAAAUGCGUAGAUAUCGCUUGGAACGCCGAAGGUGAAAACAGGUCGCUGGGACGUGACUGACGCUGAGGAGCGAAAGCGUGGGGAGCGAACAGG